Molecule: ribosomal RNA, 119 nt
Filed under: Phaseolus vulgaris (common bean)
Lineage: Eukaryota; Viridiplantae; Streptophyta; Magnoliopsida; Fabales; Fabaceae
Source: RNAcentral
AGGUGCGAUCAUACCAGCACUAAUUCAAUGGAUCCCAUCAGAACUCCGCAGAUUAGCGUGCUUGGGUGAGAGUAGUACUAGGUUGGGUGACCUCCUGGGAAGUCCUCGUGUUGCACUUC